Long non-coding RNA from Helianthus annuus (common sunflower), 1157 nucleotides. RefSeq lists it as uncharacterized. NCBI's taxonomy places the organism in Eukaryota, Viridiplantae, Streptophyta, Magnoliopsida, Asterales, Asteraceae. The record is from RefSeq and is a predicted model, not a curated record. The transcript is spliced from 6 exons.
CCAAAUUUUUAUUCCCUCCCAAAAAUUCCAUUCGCUCAAAUUUCAUUCCUCCUAAAAUAACCCUAACUUCUACAUUGCCCCCUUUCUUUACUCCUUACCCCAAUCGAGUUACAAAUCAGUUACUAGUUUCACCCCUGAAGACGAUGAGUAGCAUAGGAAGAGGGUACACAAUCUACCAUAUACAACUUUUAUUUUGCCUGAUGGUAGGGAUUUUCAGAUCGAUUACACCGCUAAAGCCAUUGACAACAGCGGCAACAUCGUCGGGGUUAUUAUUUUAGGGAGUAGAGAAGCAGAUUGCAUUCAACAUGAUGUUUCUUGGAUCUAAUGGUAGAAAUUUUUUUAGGUGCAUCGCCAUUCUGUUCAAGUAGCUCCCCAAAUUACAGAUUCAGUCAGGAUGCUCUUUCUACUCCAGCAUGCACCAUCAUCAGGUCUUAUAUCCCUGAAGCUUCUUUUUCAAUUCUCAUUGGAUCUUGGUUAGAAAUUCGUAUUGGCGGAGGUGGGUUGGUCGUUGUAUUGUAUUCCGACUGGGGAGUAUACCUGGAUCUAUUGUGAAUAGGUAGAUGAAGCUCAGUAGCAGUGGCGUGUUCCGUUUACUAAAACGGAAAACAAGCUGAAAGUCAAGUUUAAUAAACGAUAAAAAAAGUGAACCUAGAUGAAAUCAGGAACAAAUGAAGAACUACAAGCCUACAGAGGAUGACAAUGCUACGGUAGAUCCUUUUUUGGUUGUAAUGAAUAAAGAAAACUAUAGAUAUCGCCGACUUUAUGGUAGAGGCGUUACAAAUACCUUAGUGAAAAAGGUAGAUGGUGCUUGCACAUCAUACAUGAUUCCGGAAGGGCUGAUGGAAUCAUUUAAAGCGAACGUUGAAGUUGAGAAAAACCAGUUGUUGGAAAUGCGUAAAGAAAUUGAAGAAGAUCAUGAAAGAAAAAAGGCUGAGCUGGAAGCUAUGCAAAAAGACAUUGACAGCCAACGACAAAACUUGGAAGCUAUGAUGCAGAAAGUUAUGAAGCGACUGCCUGUUGGAGAUCGAGAUGAGUAGAAUGUUUCAAUUUCUUUUUAUUAUUGUAUUGAAACUUUGUGUUGACCACUUUGUUAUUUAAGUUUGAACAAGUACGUUAAAGUACACUAUUUCUCUAUCAAUGAUAUUUGUUCUAGUGUA